Eupeodes corollae is the source of this 381-nucleotide long non-coding RNA. RefSeq lists it as uncharacterized. The transcript is spliced from 3 exons. The record is from RefSeq and is a predicted model, not a curated record. Lineage: Eukaryota; Metazoa; Arthropoda; Insecta; Diptera; Syrphidae.
GCGGCGUCGAAGGAUUACUCAGCAAUAAACCUUGCAAAAAUAUUUCGUCCGUCUCCGAGAAAUCCGAACCAUAAUCUGCGCAAUGUUUGUAUCCAUCUAGAAACAAAAAAGUACACACCGAAAUAGGUAGAAAUCCUUUUAAGUGGACAUGAAGGACAUGAAGGAGGAUGAUGGAGGAUAUAGGUUGAUAGGAUCGGGAAGAAGGCAGAGAUAGGAACUUGACUAGUCAAUCACCGAAAUGGAAAUGAAUGCGUGAAACACACAAAAUAUGGCAAAAGAAGGAUCUGGUGCUGGUCAAUGGUUCCUCCUGCGUGAGCGUGACCCAAUAACUUAUUGAUUACGUAAAAAUUCAAAAUAUACAAAAUAGUGUCUUAUAGGAUG